GGUAAUGCCGGAUGCUCCGGUUGGAUGCAUGUCCUUCCGGGAAAGAUCCAUCGGUAUGGGAUGGGGUCGCGUCCUAUCAGCUUGAUGGCGGGGUAACGGCCCACCAUGGCUUCGACGGGUAGCCGGCCUGAGAGGGCGACCGGCCACAUUGGGACUGAGAUACGGCCCAGACUCCUACGGGAGGCAGCAGUGGGGAAUAUUGCACAAUGGGCGCAAGCCUGAUGCAGCGACGCCGCGUGCGGGAUGGAGGCCUUCGGGUUGUAAACCGCUUUUGAUCGGGAGCAAGCCCUUCGGGGUGAGUGUACCUUUCGAAUAAGCACCGGCUAACUACGUGCCAGCAGCCGCGGUAAUACGUAGGGUGCAAGCGUUAUCCGGAAUUAUUGGGCGUAAAGGGCUCGUAGGCGGUUCGUCGCGUCCGGUGUGAAAGCCCAUCGCUUAACGGUGGGUCUGCGCCGGGUACGGGCGGGCUGGAGUGCGGUAGGGGAGACUGGAAUUCCCGGUGUAACGGUGGAAUGUGUAGAUAUCGAAAAA
Molecule: ribosomal RNA, 531 nt
Filed under: Bifidobacterium dentium
Lineage: Bacteria; Bacillati; Actinomycetota; Actinomycetes; Bifidobacteriales; Bifidobacteriaceae
Description: bacterial SSU rRNA
Rfam family: Bacterial small subunit ribosomal RNA
Source: RNAcentral